AUUGAACGCUGGCGGCAGGCCUAACACAUGCAAGUCGAGCGGUAACAGGGGUAGCUUGCUACCCGCUGACGAGCGGCGGACGGGUGAGUAAUGCAUAGGAAUCUGCCCGAUAGUGGGGGAUAACCUGGGGAAACCCAGGCUAAUACCGCAUACGUCCUACGGGAGAAAGGGGGCUUCGGCUCCCGCUAUUGGAUGAGCCUAUGUCGGAUUAGCUAGUUGGUGAGGUAAUGGCUCACCAAGGCAACGAUCCGUAGCUGGUCUGAGAGGAUGAUCAGCCACAUCGGGACUGAGACACGGCCCGAACUCCUACGGGAGGCAGCAGUGGGGAAUAUUGGACAAUGGGCGCAAGCCUGAUCCAGCCAUGCCGCGUGUGUGAAGGAGGCCUUCGGGUUGUAAAGCACUUUCAGCGAGGAAGAACGCCUAGGGGUUAAUACCCCCUAGGAAAGACAUCACUCGCAGAAGAAGCACCGGCUAACUCCGUGCCAGCAGCCGCGGUAAUACGGAGGGUGCGAGCGUUAAUCGGAAUUACUGGGCGUAAAGCGCGCGUAGGUGGCUUGAUAAGCCGGUUGUGAAAGCCCCGGGCUCAACCUGGGAACGGCAUCCGGAACUGUCAAGCUAGAGUGCAGGAGAGGAAGGUAGAAUUCCCGGUGUAACGGUGAAAUGCGUAGAGAUCGGGAGGAAUACCAGUGGCGAAGGCGGCCUUCUGGACUGACACUGACACUGAGGUGCGAAAGCGUGGGUAGCAAACA
Molecule: ribosomal RNA, 749 nt
Filed under: uncultured Halomonas sp.
Lineage: Bacteria; Pseudomonadati; Pseudomonadota; Gammaproteobacteria; Oceanospirillales; Halomonadaceae
Description: bacterial SSU rRNA
Rfam family: Bacterial small subunit ribosomal RNA
Source: RNAcentral